GCGGCCGUGGCGGAACGGCAGACGCGCUAGGUUGAGGGCCUAGUGGGAGAAAUCCCGUGGAGGUUCAAAUCCUCUUGGCCGCACCA
RNAcentral lists this transfer RNA (86 nucleotides) under Staphylococcus equorum. RNAcentral describes it as "tRNA-Leu". It matches the Rfam family "tRNA". Rfam says of the family: Transfer RNA (tRNA) molecules are approximately 80 nucleotides in length. The record is from RNAcentral. Lineage: Bacteria; Bacillati; Bacillota; Bacilli; Caryophanales; Staphylococcaceae. RNAcentral also lists the same sequence under 5 other names.